AGAGUUUGAUCCUGGCUCAGAUUGAACGCUGGCGGAAUGCUUUACACAUGCAAGUCGAGCGGCAGCGCGGGGCAACCUGGCGGCGAGCGGCGAACGGGUGAGUAAUGCAUCGGAACAUGUCCAUGUCGUGGGGGAUAGCCCGGCGAAAGCCGGAUUAAUACCGCAUACGCCCGAGAGGGGAAAGUGGGGGACCGCAAGGCCUCACGCGAUUGGGUUGGCCGAUGUCCGAUUAGCUAGUUGGCGGGGUAAGAGCCCACCAAGGCGAUGAUCGGUAGCUGGUCUGAGAGGAUGAUCAGCCACACUGGGACUGAGACACGGCCCAGACUCCUACGGGAGGCAGCAGUGGGGAAUUUUGGACAAUGGGGGAAACCCUGAUCCAGCCAUUCCGCGUGAGUGAAGAAGGCCUUCGGGUUGUAAAGCUCUUUUGUCCGGAACGAAACGGUGGACGUGAAUAUCGUCCAUUACUGACGUACCGAA
RNAcentral lists this ribosomal RNA (477 nucleotides) under uncultured bacterium. Its description in RNAcentral is "bacterial SSU rRNA". It matches the Rfam family "Bacterial small subunit ribosomal RNA", at positions 8 to 482 of the family's 1533-position model. The record is from RNAcentral.